GGAAUAUUGGACAAUGGCCGGAAGGCUGAUCCAGCCAUGCCGCGUGCGGGAUGACGGCCCUAUGGGUUGUAAACCGCUUUUGUGUGGGAGCAAUAAGAGCCACGUGUGGCUUGAUGAGAGUACCAUACGAAUAAGCAUCGGCUAACUCCGUGCCAGCAGCCGCGGUAAUACGGAGGAUGCGAGCGUUAUCCGGAUUUAUUGGGUUUAAAGGGUGCGUAGGCGGAGGGUCAAGCAGGGGGUGAAAUGCCGGUGCUCAACACCGGAGCUGCCUUCUGAACUGGCCCUCUGGAGUGGCAGUGCCGUUGGAGGAAUGAGUGGUGUAGCGGUGAAAUGCUUAGAUAUCACUCAGAACACCGAUUGCGAAGGCAUCUGACGAACUGCCCACUGACGCUGAGGCACGAAAGCGUGGGGAUCAAACA
RNAcentral lists this ribosomal RNA (419 nucleotides) under uncultured bacterium. RNAcentral's name for it is "bacterial SSU rRNA". It matches the Rfam family "Bacterial small subunit ribosomal RNA", at positions 358 to 774 of the family's 1533-position model. The record is from RNAcentral.